UCGUGCUAAACGGGGAGCUAGCGGUGCCCUAUACCGGAAAUCCGCUUAUGCCGGGUUGAAUUCCUGUCUAAGGCUUCUCUUCUUUCAGGGACUGACUCUAUUUUGGAAGACGUUGAUCGCUGGGCCUUAUGUGAUUUCUGGGUUACCCAACCCCGUCAGGUCCGGAAGGAAGCAGCGGUAAGUAAUCCCAGAAUUGCCAUAAGCCAACCUGGUAGGAGUCAACCUGUAGAGGAUCGCCUGAAGGACGAAGGUCGAAGAUGGGUGCACGA
This 269-nucleotide signal recognition particle RNA is filed under the name bacterium. Its description in RNAcentral is "signal recognition particle sRNA large type". It matches the Rfam family "Bacterial large signal recognition particle RNA". Rfam says of the family: The signal recognition particle (SRP) is a universally conserved ribonucleoprotein involved in the co-translational targeting of proteins to membranes. Archaeal SRP consists of a 7S RNA and homologues of the eukaryotic SRP19 and SRP54 proteins. The record is from RNAcentral.